This 828-nucleotide long non-coding RNA is filed under the name Jatropha curcas. Its description in RNAcentral is "long non-coding RNA (JCUR_LNC000242)". The record is from RNAcentral. Lineage: Eukaryota; Viridiplantae; Streptophyta; Magnoliopsida; Malpighiales; Euphorbiaceae.
UUUCUUCUGGUAUGUAUACUAUACAUUGUCUAUUCUUUCUCCUAUUGUCUGUCAUGUUAUUUUUAAUUGCUUGAGGAACCCUUAUUCUGCUUCUUCUUCUUCUUCUUCUUCAACCUUUAAAUUAAAAAUUAUGGGAUCUUUAGCAUUUGAACACUCUAGAUUUCUAAUAUUUUUUCUCAUGUAAAUGUAUAAAAAAUAUUACCUAAAAAGAGAAUAAACAUCGUUUUUAGGCUUGAGGAGUUGAUCAAAUAUGACUCUUGAGACUUCCCACUCUGCACCUAGCUAGCUCUUAGCUCUAGGAUUGGCUAAUCAUGUAAAUUAGUUUACUGUUGUUCUAUUUAUUGGGUGCUCUCUCCUGUUUUUGUUUUCUCGUACUGUGGCUAAAGAUUUUGGAUUGUAGAUCGAAAAACUCAUGAAAAGUGUCAAAGACUGGAAGGACUAGCUUGUUGGAACAAGGGCAACAUUAAUAUUAGGCUAUAUCUGGUCCCCUCACCGGCUUCCUUGAUCGCCUGGGCUCCCCCAUGGCCAAAUGUUUCUGCUUUGAUGCACACGCACGUGCGUCUCUGAUUUUUCUCGUUUUGCACUUACACUUUCAGGUGCUUCUCCUUUAACUCAUGUCUUUCUUUCUUUUCUCAAUCCUUCAUCUUAGAUUUUGUUUUCAGAUUUUAGAUUUCCAGUUCUAUGUUUCUUUUUAGUUUUGGGGCAUAUCUAGAAGUUCGAGUGUCUUAUGAUGAGACAUUAUAUAUAAAUUGUACCCAUUUGAUAAAAAUCACCGGAAUUUGAUUGGAUUUGAUUCCAUUCAAUUAUUUCAGUUGAGUUGAGUUCUCG